AUUAGUUCAGUUGGUUAGAGCAUGGUGCUAGUAACACCAAGGUUGUGGGUUUGAUCCCCAUAU
This 63-nucleotide transfer RNA is filed under the name Manacus vitellinus (golden-collared manakin). It matches the Rfam family "tRNA", at positions 6 to 65 of the family's 71-position model. From Rfam's summary of the family: Transfer RNA (tRNA) molecules are approximately 80 nucleotides in length. The record is from Rfam by way of RNAcentral. Lineage: Eukaryota; Metazoa; Chordata; Aves; Passeriformes; Pipridae.